Molecule: long non-coding RNA, 722 nt
Filed under: Homo sapiens (human)
Lineage: Eukaryota; Metazoa; Chordata; Mammalia; Primates; Hominidae
Description: HSALNT0290316
Source: RNAcentral
GCAGAGCUCUUCUGGCCCUUAUGAGAAUGCCUAGGAGCAGCUCCAAGGACUCCUUGAUCCCUAAAAUAGAGCUGAAGGCAGGAGGGAGAUGUCACCUCGUGGAAGCAGGGGACAAUAGUUCUCUCUAGUUGUCCCCCACACACCUCAAGACCAAUGGGACCAACAGACUGUCUGCACCCCCAACCCUCAACAACCGGCUCCUCCUGCCAGUUUCCCUAUCCCAGUGAAUGGCACCAUCACCUCCUGAAGGUGGGGAUCCUCCCAGGCUUAGGUCCCAUCCUGGGAACGAAUUCAAGCUUAAUCUCUAUGCAACAUGGGGCUUCUCCCCUUCUCCAGGCCGACCCAGGCUUGAGAGCAGGCGACUUCUCUCUGAACUCUGCCAAGUGCAGUUCUUGACUCCAGGGUCAGGCCCAGGGGUGAGGGUUUGGGAAGGAAAGGGCACAGUGUUCCAUGGCAGCCAAAGUUGUCACCCAUCUGGCACUGGGGACUUUGGGGACAGUUUCCAGCUCAUUCUCUCUGGGGCUCUAGUGCAGGUUUCUUGGAGACCUUCUUACUGACUCCACUGGCCACAGCUCCCCAGCACCUGAAAUGCCUGCACCUCCUGCUGGCCACAAUUCACCACCUCCCCUUCAGCUCCUACAGGAUGGUGUCCUCCUGGCUUCUCCUGCUGAGGCCGCCUUACCUACUAGGAAGCACUUUGGGAUGGAGAUGGUCAGGCUGGC